Molecule: ribosomal RNA, 468 nt
Filed under: uncultured bacterium
Lineage: Bacteria
Description: partial 16S ribosomal RNA
Rfam family: Bacterial small subunit ribosomal RNA
Source: RNAcentral
GACGAACGCUGGCGGCGUGCUUAACACAUGCAAGUCGAACGGAAAGGCCCUGCUUUUGUGGGGUGCUCGAGUGGCGAACGGGUGAGUAACACGUGAGUAACCUGCCCUUGACUUUGGGAUAACUUCAGGAAACUGGGGCUAAUACCGGAUAGGAGCUCCUGCUGCAUGGUGGGGGUUGGAAAGUUUCGGCGGUUGGGGAUGGACUCGCGGCUUAUCAGCUUGUUGGUGGGGUAGUGGCUUACCAAGGCUUUGACGGGUAGCCGGCCUGAGAGGGUGACCGGCCACAUUGGGACUGCGAUACGGCCCAGACGCCUACGGGAGGCAGCAGUGGGGAAUAUUGCACAAUGGGCGGAAGCCUGAUGCAGCAACGCCGCGUGCGGGAUGACGGCCUUCGGGUUGUAAACCGCUUUCGCCUGUGACGAAGCGUGAGUGAAGGUAAUGGGUAAAGAAGCACCGGCUAACUACGUG